This is a non-coding RNA of Schistosoma rodhaini, 48 nucleotides long. The record is from Rfam. Lineage: Eukaryota; Metazoa; Platyhelminthes; Trematoda; Strigeidida; Schistosomatidae.
AUCCAGCUGACGAGUCUCGAAUAGGACGGAACGCGAGUCAAACUGGAU